This 237-nucleotide ribosomal RNA is filed under the name uncultured bacterium. RNAcentral's name for it is "partial 16S ribosomal RNA". It matches the Rfam family "Bacterial small subunit ribosomal RNA", at positions 97 to 334 of the family's 1533-position model. The record is from RNAcentral.
CGCGGACGGGUGAGUAACGCGUGGGUAACCUGCCUCAUACAGGGGGAUAACAGUUGGAAACGGCUGCUAAUACCGCAUAAGCGCACAGUACCGCAUGGUACGGUGUGAAAAACUCCGGUGGUAUGAGAUGGACCCGCGUCUGAUUAGGUAGUUGGUGGGGUAACGGCCUACCAAGCCGACGAUCAGUAGCCGACCUGAGAGGGUGACCGGCCACAUUGGGACUGAGACACGGCCCAA